AACGUAGGACGCAAGCGUUAUCCGGAGUUACUGGGCGUAAAGGGCGCGUAGGCGGGAUGGCAAGUCGGUCGUGAAAUCCCUCGGCUCAACCGAGGAACGUCGAUCGAUACUGCUGUUCUUGAGGAUUGCAGAGGAGACUGGAAUUCCCGGUGUAGCGGUGAAAUGUGUAGAGAUCGGGAGGAACACCGGUGGCGAAGGCGGGUCUCUGGGCAAUUCCUGACGCUGAGGCGCGAAAGCGUGGGGAGCAAACGGG
RNAcentral lists this ribosomal RNA (253 nucleotides) under uncultured bacterium. RNAcentral's name for it is "partial 16S ribosomal RNA". It matches the Rfam family "Bacterial small subunit ribosomal RNA", at positions 524 to 776 of the family's 1533-position model. The record is from RNAcentral.